GGAAGUUGGUUGUUGUUGGUAUUGGAGUUACUGGUUUUGGAGUAACUGUAGGUGUCAUCUCUCUGGGAUUGGCACUUCUCUGUUCCCAAAGAAGAACUGAAAACGUUUCAUACAACAGGACACAAGCCAAAGCCACUGAUAUCUAUGUGCCCAUGAGAAAUAUUGACCAUAAUGAGAGAGAGUUACCUGCAGGUAACGCUGAAGCCAACAUUAUGAUCAACUCUCAACCUGGUGAUGACUGUCCUACUGUUUCUGAAAUACCAAAAGAGUUGGAGCUUGAAAAUGAGGAUGACACAGACCAUACGUACGCC
Scomber japonicus (chub mackerel) is the source of this 311-nucleotide long non-coding RNA. RefSeq lists it as uncharacterized. The record is from RefSeq and is a predicted model, not a curated record. NCBI's taxonomy places the organism in Eukaryota, Metazoa, Chordata, Actinopteri, Scombriformes, Scombridae. The transcript is spliced from 7 exons.